Molecule: ribosomal RNA, 1355 nt
Filed under: uncultured soil bacterium
Lineage: Bacteria
Description: 16S ribosomal RNA
Rfam family: Bacterial small subunit ribosomal RNA
Source: RNAcentral
AUUGAACGCUGGCGGCAUGCCUUACACAUGCAAGUCGAACGGUAGAGUAGCAAUACUCGAGAGUGGCGAACGGGUGAGUAAUAUAUCGGAACGUGCCCAGUCGUGGGGGAUAACGUAGAGAAAUUUACGCUAAUACCGCAUACGAUCUAAGGAUGAAAGCGGGGGAUUCGCAAGAACCUCGCGCGAUUGGAGCGGCUGAUAUCAGAUUAGGUUGUUGGUGAGGUAAAAGCUCACCAAGCCGACGAUCUGUAGCUGGUUUGAGAGAACGACCAGCCACACUGGGACUGAGACACGGCCCAGACUCCUACGGGAGGCAGCAGUGGGGAAUUUUGGACAAUGGGGGAAACCCUGAUCCAGCCAUUCCGCGUGAGUGAAGAAGGCCUUCGGGUUGUAAAGCUCUUUCAGCAGGAACGAAACGGUCGGCUUUAAUAAAGUCGGCUAAUGACGGUACCUGCAGAAGAAGCACCGGCUAACUACGUGCCNNCAGCCGCGGUAAUACGUAGGGUGCGAGCGUUAAUCGGAAUUACUGGGCGUAAAGCGUGCGCAGGCGGCGACAUAAGACAGAUGUGAAAUCCCCGGGCUCAACCUGGGAACUGCGUUUGUGACUGUGUUGCUAGAGUGUAGCAGAGGGGGGUGGAAUUCCACGUGUAGCAGUGAAAUGCGUAGAGAUGUGGAGGAACACCGAUGGNGAAGGCAGCCCCCUGGGUUAACACUGACGCUCAUGCACGAAAGCGNGGGGGAGCAAACAGGAUUAGAUACCCUGGUAGUCCACGCCCUAAACGAUGCCAACUAGGUGUUGGGGAAGGAGACUUCCUUAGUACCGUAGCUAACGCGUGAAGUUGGCCGCCUGGGGAGUACGGUCGCAAGAUUAAAACUCAAAGGAAUUGACGGGGACCCGCACAAGCGGUGGAUGAUGUGGAUUAAUUCGAUGCAACGCGAAAAACCUUACCUACCCUUGACAUGUCCGGAAUCCCGAAGAGAUUUGGGAGUGCUCGAAAGAGAGCCGGAACACAGGUGCUGCAUGGCUGUCGUCAGCUCGUGUCGUGAGAUGUUGGGUUAAGUCCCGCAACGAGCGCAACCCUUAUCAUUAGUUGCCAUCAUUUAGUUGGGCACUCUAAUGAGACUGCCGGUGACAAACCGGAGGAAGGUGGGGAUGACGUCAAGUCCUCAUGGCCCUUAUGGGUAGGGCUUCACACGUCAUACAAUGGUCGGUACAGAGGGUUGCCAACCCGCGAGGGGGAGCUAAUCUCACAAAGCCGAUCGUAGUCCGGAUCGCAGUCUGCAACUCGACUGCGUGAAGUCGGAAUCGCUAGUAAUCGUGGAUCAGAAUGUCACGGUGAAUACGUUCCCGGGUC